RNAcentral lists this ribosomal RNA (468 nucleotides) under uncultured bacterium. RNAcentral's name for it is "partial 16S ribosomal RNA". It matches the Rfam family "Bacterial small subunit ribosomal RNA", at positions 28 to 507 of the family's 1533-position model. The record is from RNAcentral.
GACGAACGCUGGCGGCGUGCUUAACACAUGCAAGUCGAACGGAAAGGCCCUGCUUUUGUGGGGUGCUCGAGUGGCGAACGGGUGAGUAACACGUGAGUAACCUGCCCUUGACUUUGGGAUAACUUCAGGAAACUGGGGCUAAUACCGGAUAGGAGCUCCUGCUGCAUGGUGGGGGUUGGAAAGUUUCGGCGGUUGGGGAUGGAUUCGCGGCUUAUCAGCUUGUUGGUGGGGUAGUGGCUUACCAAGGUUUUGACGGGUAGCCGGCCUGAGAGGGUGACCGGCGACAUGGGGACUGAGAUACGGCCCAGACGCCUACGGGAGGCAGCAGGGGGGAAUAUUGCACAAUGGGCGGAAGCCUGAUGCAGCAACGCCGCGUGCGGGAUGACGGCCUUCGGGUUGUAAACCGCUGUCGCCUGUGACGAAGCGUGAGUGACGGUAAUGGGUAAAGAAGCACCGGCUAACUACGUG